UGGGGAAUUUUGGACAAUGGGCGAAAGCCUGAUCCAGCAAUGCCGCGUGUGUGAAGAAGGCCUUCGGGUUGUAAAGCACUUUUGUCCGGAAAGAAAUCCUUGGCUCUAAUACAGUCGGGGGAUGACGGUACCGGAAGAAUAAGCACCGGCUAACUACGUGCCAGCAGCCGCGGUAAUACGUAGGGUGCAAGCGUUAAUCGGAAUUACUGGGCGUAAAGCGUGCGCAGGCGGUUUGCUAAGACCGAUGUGAAAUCCCCGGGCUCAACCUGGGAACUGCAUUGGUGACUGGCAGGCUAGAGUAUGGCAGAGGGGGGUAGAAUUCCACGUGUAGCAGUGAAAUGCGUAGAGAUGUGGAGGAAUACCGAUGGCGAAGGCAGCCCCCUGGGCCAAUACUGACGCUCACGCACGAAAGCGUGGGGAGCAAACAGGAUUAGAUACCCUGGUAGUCCACGCCCUAAACGAUGUCAACUAGUUGUUGGGGAUUCAUUUUCCUUAGUAACGUAGCUAACGCGUGAAGUUGACCGCCUGGGGAGUACGGUCGCAAGAUUAAAACUCAAAGGAAUUGACGGGGUCAUA
RNAcentral lists this ribosomal RNA (576 nucleotides) under uncultured bacterium. RNAcentral's name for it is "partial 16S ribosomal RNA". It matches the Rfam family "Bacterial small subunit ribosomal RNA", at positions 355 to 923 of the family's 1533-position model. The record is from RNAcentral.